Molecule: ribosomal RNA, 253 nt
Filed under: uncultured bacterium
Lineage: Bacteria
Description: partial 16S ribosomal RNA
Rfam family: Bacterial small subunit ribosomal RNA
Source: RNAcentral
UACGUAGGGUGCGAGCGUUAAUCGGAAUUACUGGGCGUAAAGCGUGCGCAGGCGGGCUUUUAAGCCAGACGUGAAAUCCCCGGGCUUAACCUGGGAAUGGCGUUUGGGACUGGGAGUCUGGAGUGCGGCAGAGGAGACUGGAAUUCCUGGUGUAGCAGUGAAAUGCGUAGAUAUCAGGAGGAACACCGGUGGCGAAGGCGGGUCUCUGGGCCGAUACUGACGCUGAGGAGCGAAAGCAUGGGGAGCGAACAGG